This 253-nucleotide ribosomal RNA is filed under the name uncultured bacterium. RNAcentral's name for it is "partial 16S ribosomal RNA". It matches the Rfam family "Bacterial small subunit ribosomal RNA", at positions 524 to 776 of the family's 1533-position model. The record is from RNAcentral.
UACGUAGGGUGCAAGCGUUGUCCGGAAUUAUUGGGCGUAAAGAGCUCGUAGGCGGUCUGUCGCGCCGGCUGUGAAAACCUGGGGCUCAACUCCGGGCCUGCAGCCGAUACGGGCAGACUAGAAUUCGGUAGGGGAGACUGGAAUUCCUGGUGUAGCGGUGAAAUGCGCAGAUAUCAGGAGGAACACCGGUGGCGAAGGCGGGUCUCUGGGCCGAUAUUGACGCUGAGGAGCGAAAGCGUGGGGAGCGAACAGG